RNAcentral lists this long non-coding RNA (251 nucleotides) under Hordeum vulgare. RNAcentral describes it as "long non-coding RNA (HVUL_LNC018139)". The record is from RNAcentral. Lineage: Eukaryota; Viridiplantae; Streptophyta; Magnoliopsida; Poales; Poaceae.
GCCAGUACGAGGCAGGACAAUUGAUCUUGGCGUGCGGGUUAAGACUCAAGACGACACGAGACACCAUCAACCUGCUGUCACCGGAAUGAUCCCUUCUUGUAGUCCUUCCAAGUUAACUUCUGAAUCCUGCAUGAAAAACUUGUUCCACUUGCCACUUGACAAGCAGGCCUUUCAGAUUAUAAAUUAGCAUUGCUAUUGCGGUCAUUGAAGAUCUUCCUGUAUAGAUUUUGAAUCAAAGACAAGCAUUUCGU